GAUGAACGCUAGCGGCGUGCUUAACACAUGCAAGUCGAACGAAGCACUUUAAUCGAUUUCUUCGGAUUGAAAUUUUAGUGACUGAGUGGCGGACGGGCGAGUAACGCGUGGGUAACCUGCCUCACACAGGGGGAUAACAGUUGGAAACGGCUGCUAAUACCGCAUAAGCGCACAGUACAGCAUGGUAAGGUGUGAAAAACUCCGGUGGUGUGAGAUGGACCCGCGUCUGAUUAGCUAGUUGGCAGGGCAGCGGCCGACCAAGGCGACGAUCAGUAGCCGACCGGAGAGGGUGACCGGCCAAAUUGGGACUGAGACACGGCCCAAACUCCUACGGGAGGCAGCAGUGGGGAAUAUUGCACAAUGGGGGAAACCCUGAUGCAGCGACGCCGCGUGAGCGAAGAAGUAUUUCGGUAUGUAAAGCUCUAUCAGCAGGGAAGAAGAAAUGACGGUACCUGACUAAGAAGCACCGGUUAAAUACGUGCCAGCCGCCGCCGUAA
Molecule: ribosomal RNA, 497 nt
Filed under: uncultured bacterium
Lineage: Bacteria
Description: partial 16S ribosomal RNA
Rfam family: Bacterial small subunit ribosomal RNA
Source: RNAcentral